Non-coding RNA from Oryctolagus cuniculus (rabbit), 2688 nucleotides. Lineage: Eukaryota; Metazoa; Chordata; Mammalia; Lagomorpha; Leporidae. The record is from RefSeq and is a predicted model, not a curated record.
UCGGUGCCAGUGCUGUGGCACACUGGGUUAAUCCUCCACCUGCUGCACUGGCAUCCCACAUGUGUUCCAGUUCUAGUCCCAUAUGCUCUCCUCUUCUGAUCCAGCUCUCUACUAUAGCCUUUGAAAGCAGUAGAAGAUGGCCCAAGCACUUGCACCCCUGCACCCAUGUGGGAGACUCAGAAGAAGCUCCUGGCUCCUGGCUUCAGAUUGGCCCAGCUCCAAUCUUUGCCACCAUUUGGAGAGUGAAACAGUGGAUGAAAGACCUUUCUCUCUGUCUCUCCUUCUCACUGUCUAUACUACUUCUCAAAUAAAUAAAUAAAGUCUUUUUUAUUUGACAGGUAGAGUUAUAGACAGUGAGAGAGAAAGAGAGAAAGGUCUUCCUUCCGUUGGUUCACCCCCUAAAUGGCCGCCAUGGCCGGCGCUGCACCUAUCCGAAGCCAGGAACCAGGUGCUUCUUCUUGGUCUCCCAUGCGGAUUCAGGGGCCCAAGCACUUGGGCCAUCCUUCACUGCCCUCACGGGUCACAGCAGAGAGCUGGACUGGAAGAGGAGCAACCACGACUAGAACCCGGUGCCCAUAUGGGAUGCCGGCACCGCAGACAGAGGAUUAAUCAAGUGAGCCACAGCGCCAGCUCCUAAAUAAAGUCUUUAAAAAAAAAUGAGAAAGGAGAAUUCAUUGGUAAAGCUAAUACUUGUUCCUGAGCCUGAUGGAUUAUAAAAAUGGGCUCUCACUGGUAACAUUAGUGGUAUCCAAGACAUGUAGUUUGCCUGAAUAUUUGGAGACACUCCUACCCUUUUCAUCAAAGGUAUUACAACCUGCAUCUCUGGCCCAAAGUUUGAGGCUUGGACACCUGAGUGGAGAACUCUGUUUUCCUGAAGCCUAAUAGAACAUUAGCCAAAUUCUGCUUCCAGAAUAUUGCUAUAAUUAUUUCAAGAGAACCUUUUAUGGAAGAAGGCCUCCAGGGCACUUCAAAAGGGCUACAGCUGGAAUAUUGUCAGACUUGCAGAAGAGGAUUAAGGGACCAUUCCUUACCACGUGUCAGCUGGAGGCCAUUCUCAGUGUCUGCAGAGCACUCAGGUUCCGUGGAUCCCUUAAUCUUCAAAGUUAACAAUUGAUUUCUGGCUGGAUAAUAAAAGAGUAGCUAAAGAAAACCAGAAAAAGACAAGGCUACUGAGAAAAAGGUCAGUGAAAGAAACUCAACAGAAGAGGUAAGAUUCUAACAGCAAUGUAUGAAGUUCAAAUAAAUGAAGAGAUGGAAAAGUUCUGGGUAAAAAUUUAAGAAGUUGGGCUGGUGCUGUGUCCAGGUGAAGCUGCUGCCUGCAGUGCCAGCAUCCGAUAUGGGUUCUGGUUCAAGUCCCAGCUGUUCCACUUCCAAUCCAACUCUGUGUUUUGGCCUGGGAAAGCAAUAGACGAUGGCCUCUGUACCCACAUGGGAUACCCAGAAGUAGCUCCUGGCUCCUGGCUUCAAAUCAGCUCAGCUGCAGCAGUUGUGGCCAUCUGGGGAGUGAACCGGCAGAUGGAAGUCCUCUCUCUCUCUCUUUCUCUCUCUGCCUCUGUAAUUCCACCUUUCAAAUAAAUAAAUAAAUCUUUAAAAAAAAGAAUUUCAAGAAGGAAGUGGGAUUGUGGUAACUGGGUUAAGCUGCUGCUUAAAGACACCCGUAUUCCAUAUCAGAGAGCCAGUUCAAGUCCUAGAUACUCUGCUUCUGAUCCAGCUUCCUGCUGAUGCACCUGGGAGGCAGCGAGUGAUGGUUUAAGUACUUGGGCCCCUGCCAACUAUGUGGGAGACCUGUAAGGAGUUCUUGCCUCCUGAGUUUUGCCUGGCUCAACACGAUUGUUGUGGGCAUUUGGCAAGUGAACCAGAAUGUGGAAGAAUCCCCCACCUCUUACCACUCUGUCAUUCUGCCUUUCAAAUAAUAAAUAAAUGUUUAAGAAGUAAAAAUAUAAAAACAAUGUCAGGAAGAAAAUGUCUUAAUAAAGAGAAAGUGGGCACAUAAAUUUGUCUGAUGCAAGGCACAAGGCAAAAGUAAUACUAAUUUCAAUUGGUCACAAUGGUUCUUCACAGAUAUUCAGUAAAAGAAAACAUCUAACUCAAUCCACAAAUAACUCCGUUAAUUUUAUCAUAUUUUCAGAAAGGAUAUCUACAUUCCUGGAAAUAAAUCAGGGCAAAAAUGUUUGUUUUCCAUUCUCUUAGGAUUCUUUUAACCCAAAUGACUCCCCCUGACUUUGCCUAGGUAAGUCAUUUCACUUUGCUUCCCUGCACCUGGGACACAAUUUGGGUUUCUCCUAUCUUCUCUCAGCAGUUAAACUUCUUGUUUUUCUCUUCUCUGUUCAUAAGAACCACCAGCUCUAAACAGUUCUCUUUUCAGUUCUCUGUAAGCCCACGUGGAGGAGAAGCAUCUCCCAUUUAGCUCUUCCCAGCAACUUCAGCCUUGCUAACCACAAUUCUUGGUGGCAGCAGCAGGACAAAGCAAUAGUCUGCUGUUAAGAUAAAAAACAAGAUGAAUAAUGCCUAUGAACAAGCAUGUCUUUUUCUACAUCUCAGAAAUCUUGUAUAAGCAGAGCACCAGUCUGAGGGCCACUGUGGAUUCAGACCUGGCUUCCAUACGCAAGCCGUCAUGCAAACAUGAUAGCCACCAUAUGGGUUCUAUUUUAUGCCAACUGUGGAGAGAAAGAGAGAGAGAGAGAGAGA